UACGUAGGGGGCGAGCGUUGUCCGGAUUUAUUGGGCGUAAAGAGCGUGUAGGCGGCCUGGUAGGUCUGGUGUGAAAACUCGAGGCUCAACCUCGAGACGUCGGCGGAAACCAUCUGGCUAGAGUCCGGAAGAGGAGAGUGGAAUUCCUGGUGUAGCGGUGAAAUGCGCAGAUAUCAGGAAGAACACCCGUGGCGAAGGCGGCUCUCUGGGACGGUACUGACGCUGAGACGCGAAAGCGUGGGGAGCGAACAGG
Molecule: ribosomal RNA, 253 nt
Filed under: uncultured bacterium
Lineage: Bacteria
Description: partial 16S ribosomal RNA
Rfam family: Bacterial small subunit ribosomal RNA
Source: RNAcentral